UUUUAGACGGUUUUCGUGUAAAACGAAAGUGACCGCAUUCGUGUUCAUCCUUAAUAUUGAAAUGUAAGUUGUAUUUGAUGAUAAUACGUAACAUAUAUAAAGAUUGAGGAUGAACACGGAUGCGGCCAUUUUCAUUUUAGACAAAAACCAUCUGAAA
RNAcentral lists this small RNA (157 nucleotides) under Mytilus galloprovincialis (Mediterranean mussel). Lineage: Eukaryota; Metazoa; Mollusca; Bivalvia; Mytilida; Mytilidae. The record is from RNAcentral.